Molecule: ribosomal RNA, 449 nt
Filed under: uncultured bacterium
Lineage: Bacteria
Description: bacterial SSU rRNA
Rfam family: Bacterial small subunit ribosomal RNA
Source: RNAcentral
UGCCAGACUCCUACGGGAGGCAGCAGUGGGGGAUAUUGCACAAUGGGGGAAACCCUGAUGCAGCGACGCCGCGUGGGCGAAGAAGUAUUUCGGUAUGUAAAGCCCUAUCAGCAGGGAAGAAGAAAUGACGGUACCUGAGUAAGAAGCACCGGCUAAAUACGUGCCAGCAGCCGCGGUAAUACGUAGGGGGCAAGCGUUAUCCGGAUUUACUGGGUGUAAAGGGAGCGUAGGCGGCAGGGCAAGCCUGAUGUGAAAGCCCGGGGCUCAACCCCGGGACUGCAUUGGGAACUGCCCCGCUCGAGUGCCGGAGGGGCAGGCGGAAUUCCUGGUGUAGCGGUGAAAUGCGUAGAUAUCAGGAGGAACACCGGUGGCGAAGGCGGCCUGCUGGACUGCGACUGACGUUGAGGCCCGAAAGCGUGGGGAGCAAACAGGAUUAGAUACCCGUGUAC